This 460-nucleotide ribosomal RNA is filed under the name uncultured bacterium. Its description in RNAcentral is "partial 16S ribosomal RNA". It matches the Rfam family "Bacterial small subunit ribosomal RNA", at positions 338 to 795 of the family's 1533-position model. The record is from RNAcentral.
CCUACGGGUGACAGCAGUGAGGAAUAUUGGUCAAUGGACGGAAGUCUGAACCAGCCAUGCCGCGUGCAGGAUGACGGCUCUAUGAGUUGUAAACUGCUUUUGUACGAGAAUAAUAGUUCUUACGUGUAGGGGUUUGAAUGUAUCGUACGAAUAAGGCUCGGCUAACUCCGUGCCAGCAGCCGCGGUACUACGGAGGGUUCGAGCGUUAUCCGGAUUUAUUGGGUUUAAAGGGUGCGUAGGCUGUCGGAUAAGUUAGAGGUGAAAUGUUGGGGCUUAACCCCGGGCCUGCCUCUGAUACUGGUCGACUAGAGAGCGGAUGAAGCAGGCGGAAUGAGUGGUGUAGCGGUGAAAUGCUUAGAUAUUACGCAGAACACCGAUUGCGAAGGCAGCUUGCUAAUCCGCAACUGACGCUGAGGCACGAAAGCGUGGGUAGCGAACAGGAUUAGAUACCCGGGUAGUC